Molecule: ribosomal RNA, 216 nt
Filed under: uncultured prokaryote
Description: partial 16S ribosomal RNA
Source: RNAcentral
ACUGAGCUUUCUCGCCAAAUGACGACUUCUACCACAUCUAUUGACAUUAUGGGUCUGCAAGCUGCUUAUGCUAAUUUGCAUACUAACCAAGAACGUGAUUACUUCAUGCAGCGUUACCAUGAUGUUAUUUCUUCAUUUGGAGGUAAAACCUCUUAUGAAGAAAUAACAUCAUGGUAACGCUGCAUGAAGUAAUCACGUUCUUGGUCAGUAUGCAAA